AUUGAACGCUGGCGGCAGGCCUAACACAUGCAAGUCGAACGGUAACAGGAAGCAGCUUGCUGCUUUGCUGACGAGUGGCAGACGGGUGAGUAAUGUCUGGGAAACUGCCUGAUGGAGGGGGAUAACUACUGGAAACGGUAGCUAAUACCGCAUAACGUCGCAAGACCAAAGAGGGGGACCUUAGGGCCUCUUGCCAUCGGAUGUGCCCAGAUGGGAUUAGCUAGUAGGUGGGGUAACGGCUCACCUAGGCGACGAUCCCUAGCUGGUCUGAGAGGAUGACCAGCCACACUGGAACUGAGACACGGUCCAGACUCCUACGGGAGGCAGCAGUGGGGAAUAUUGCACAAUGGGCGCAAGCCUGAUGCAGCCAUGCCGCGUGUAUGAAGAAGGCCUUCGGGUUGUAAAGUACUUUCAGCGGGGAGGAAGGGAGUAAAGUUAAUACCUUUGCUCAUUGACGUUACCCGCAGAAGAAGCACCGGCUAACUCCGUG
RNAcentral lists this ribosomal RNA (490 nucleotides) under uncultured bacterium. Its description in RNAcentral is "partial 16S ribosomal RNA". It matches the Rfam family "Bacterial small subunit ribosomal RNA", at positions 30 to 507 of the family's 1533-position model. The record is from RNAcentral.